This is a long non-coding RNA of Solea solea (common sole), 293 nucleotides long. RefSeq lists it as uncharacterized. The transcript has 3 exons. The record is from RefSeq and is a predicted model, not a curated record. NCBI's taxonomy places the organism in Eukaryota, Metazoa, Chordata, Actinopteri, Pleuronectiformes, Soleidae.
AUACUGAAAAAACCUCCGGAAGGAAGACGAUUCCUGCUGGUACGUCAUGACUCCGCAGAGACCUGAGAGGAACAUCGGACACAAGCAGCUGUGAUUCAAGAUGGCGGCCAUGUUGAAGCUGCUGAUUUCAACAGCAGCUGGGAAUGAAUGAGUCAGAUCUGAUUUGAACUGUCUUUAUUGACACAAUCGACGACAUAGAGACAAGAAUCGAUAAUGAACUGAUGAAGAUUCCUGCUGUCGUCACAGAUCUGCGGCUCAGAGAAAACGGCGACUCACUGCAGCGAUGAUAAUCC